Molecule: ribosomal RNA, 292 nt
Filed under: uncultured bacterium
Lineage: Bacteria
Description: partial 16S ribosomal RNA
Rfam family: Bacterial small subunit ribosomal RNA
Source: RNAcentral
GUGAUCCUACGGGAGACAGCAGUAGGGAAUUUUCGCCAAUGGGCGCAAGCCUGAACGAGCAAUGCCGCGUGAGUGAGGAAGGUCUUCGGAUCGUAAAGCUCUGUUGCGGGGGAAAAAGGACAGGAAGAGGAAAUGCUUUCUGUUUGAUGGUACCCCGCCAGAAAGUCACGGCUAACUACGUGCCAGCAGCCGCGGUAAUACGUAGGUGGCGAGCGUUAUCCGGAAUGAUUGGGCGUAAAGGGUGCGCAGGCGGCAUGUCAAGUCUGAAGUGUAAGUGACGGGCUUAACCUGU